GUGAUGAACUGGGGUGGAUCAUCAAGACUAGAGGAGCCAAGGAUAAUUUCUCUCUUCAGUUUUGAUGAUAGCUUGUGAGCAGCACAUAACUAUCGAGUAGCACCACCAAUAACAAAAACAAAUAAUCGCUGACCCAACUUUCUGCUAUUACUUGAUGUGUGCUUCAGUCACAAACCUUGAAUACCCAUCAUCAGAGUCUCGAGGCCUGGCCCAUGUGCCACCUGUCCUUCUAGAUCUCAUGGAUUGAGCUGGCUGGUGAGCUGGGCUUGUUUGGGUAGAUGCACUUGGAAUUCCCCGGAAACUAGGACUAGGGUCAUUCAAAUAGUGAUACUCAUCUUUUGGUAGCUCACCCUUGCUAAUACAUGGAAAAGCUUGUACCUCCAGGAUGGGAUAAAACCGGGACAACAUCCAUUUUGAUUCUUCUCCUAUCCGCUCCUUUCUGAUACCAUGCCUUUUCUAAAAUUUAUCAAAUUUCAGAGUAAAGCCACCUGCCGAAGACUUUUUAGAAUCAUGCCCACAAAGGCAACGCAUAUUACUCACUGCAAUCAUGUCAUCAGCAGAUAAUCCUGCUACCUGCAUCAACUUUGCACCCUUAUCACUUCGAGUUUUAUCUGGAUUGAUGGCAGCAUAAACCAUAAGCAAACGCAGCUUAUUUUCACGACUGAUAACCAAAUGUGUCCUGAAGAAAUUUAUGAGUUCUUUUGUCCCAGCAUCACCAAACACAAGAUCUUGCUCAAGCUGCCCAACAUCUUUCAAUUGUUGCUCUUUAAUUGCAGGGAAUGUAACUACUAACCUCAACAUGAAGCGCAAGCUUGUCAAUUUGAUCACUGUACUGCGGAAGAGCUUGAACCAUUUUUUGCAACUCUUUGGUUGAUAAAUCUCCACCAUUUCUUGCUUGAUGUAGUUGAGCAGCUUUGUUUUUUGAUACAAAAUUGGUCAUCUUCUCAUGCAAUCUUUCACUAGCAUUGGCUAUAUGUACAUGCCGAAGCUCAAGCCAUAUUGGAUCAUGAUCCUCCAACAAAACCUCCUUCUACUACAAAUGAAGAUUUUGACAUGCUCACCUGUUGUACAUACUUGUUGCCAUCCAUGCAGAGUAGAUCAUGACACAUGGCAUCAUAGGUCCAUUCUUUGACAUUCCACCUCAUACCUGAUCUAUUGAUCGGUCUACGAUAAGUAAUUCACAUGUUUCAGUCUGAGGGAAUUCAGGUAUCAUAGCCUUAAAUCUUGCAAGGCAAUUCCACACACCAGCAGCAAGCUUUGUGGGUGCCAAAUCUCGUAGUGUUGUCAAAGUAGAAGCAUCAAUCGUCCUGGCAACACGAUACAUAAAAUGGGAAAACAGUACCCUCAUUGAUGCGAAUACUGUAGCAAUACGAGUGGCCAUCAUGUUAAGGCAAGAGUUAUACUUGAGUGAACCUUCUGCAUUUUCACUAAAUAGCUCUUCUAGGGCCUUGUCAUGGUCAGUUGUAAAGCCCUAACAUGCAAGGAACAGAUAAUAGUUAAACUGACCUCACUGAGUGCACCUAUGCGUGCUCUAACAUUUGAAUCUUUUUUUAUUUGGGCCACCAACUCUCUUUGUACGGGUGAACUGAAAAACACAUAGGCUCUGAAACAGGUAGAGUAUCGUGAUGUGGUAACUAGUCACACUUACUUUUCCUUAGUUGGUUGAAUGAAAUAAAUUGCAUCCAUCAAUGGUAAUGGUUGCCUCCGCAUGUAAAAAACAUACUUACAUGAAACACCUUCUUCCAUCACAUCUGCCAUCUUGCAAGAAAAUGACAUAAUCUUCACCGUAAGUUUGUCCAUGAUAAGAACCUAGGAGUUACAAAACAAUUUUAUGCCGUGGGGGCAGGGCAGGAAGGCACUCACGAUCCCGGGUGAUCUGGCGGAAGCUCCUGUAGUCGGCGCCGCUGCGCGAGGAGAUGACCGAGUCCAUCGACAUGGCCGCCCGGAGAACCCCGACUGCCUC
This 1963-nucleotide small RNA is filed under the name Oryza sativa Japonica Group (Japanese rice). Its description in RNAcentral is "sRNA Os04g0252550". The record is from RNAcentral. Lineage: Eukaryota; Viridiplantae; Streptophyta; Magnoliopsida; Poales; Poaceae.